CAAAGAUCGAACCCUUUGUAGUGUUGAAAGAUGAUGCAUAAUUUCUUUAUGCAAAUCAAUACUUUACUUCCUGUCUUGGGCUUAAAAAGCAGGAAAUGGUCCGUCUUCCCUGAUCAGAGUAGUGUGCCAGUUCAGUAACAGAUACCAUGUUUGUCUUGUGCUUUAUUUUGUGCCUCUCAUUUCUCUCUGAGGUCAAGUCUGAUAUUGAGCUUGUUCAGCCAAGUUCAGAAAUUAAAUCACCUGGUGAGAGUGUUAAACUGUCCUGCAAGACAUCAGGUUACACAUUCACUGGCUCCUGGAUACACUGGAUACAGCAGGUUCCUGGGAAAGGAUUGCAAUGGAUAGGCAUGAUAUUUCCUAGAGAUGCAGAUACACGCUACUCACCCUCAUACCAAGGAAGGUGCCACAUUAGCACUGAUAAUUCACAAAGCACAGCAUUCCUGCAACUGAACAAUCUAAAAGUGGAGGACACUGCCAUAUAUUACUGUGCUAAAGACACAGUGAAAACAACCAACUGACUAGUCAUACAAAAUCAUUCCAUGAAGUCAUGCUACCACUAGAGAGCACCACCACACAAAUAACACUAUACAUUUCUUUAAA
Molecule: non-coding RNA, 600 nt
Organism: Xenopus laevis (African clawed frog)
Lineage: Eukaryota; Metazoa; Chordata; Amphibia; Anura; Pipidae
Source: the annotation of a RefSeq genome assembly